RNAcentral lists this non-coding RNA (45 nucleotides) under Trichobilharzia regenti. Lineage: Eukaryota; Metazoa; Platyhelminthes; Trematoda; Strigeidida; Schistosomatidae. The record is from RNAcentral.
AUCCAGAUGACGAGUCCCAAAUAGGACGAAAUUCGCCUCCUGGAU